Molecule: ribosomal RNA, 402 nt
Filed under: uncultured bacterium
Lineage: Bacteria
Description: bacterial SSU rRNA
Rfam family: Bacterial small subunit ribosomal RNA
Source: RNAcentral
UCGGGAAUUUUGGGCAAUGGGCGAAAGCCUGACCCAGCAACGCCGCGUGAGGGAUGAAGUAUUUCGGUAUGUAAACCUCGAAAGAAUGGGAAGAAUAAAUGACGGUACCAUUUAUAAGCUCCGGCUAACUACGUGCCAGCAGCCGCGGUAAUACGUAGGGAGCAAGCGUUGUUCGGAUUUACUGGGCGUAAAGGGCGCGUAGGCGGCGCGGUAAGUCACUUGUGAAAUCUCUGAGCUUAACUCAGAACGGCCAAGUGAUACUGCUGUGCUAGGGGGCGGAAGAGGCAGCCGGAAUUCUUGGUGUAGCGGUAAAAUGCGUAGAUAUCAAGAGGAACACCUGAGGCGAAGGCGGGUUGCUGGGCCGACACUGACGCUGAUGCGCGAAAGCCAGGGGAGCAAACG